AGUGAACGCUGGCGGUAGGCCUAACACAUGCAAGUCGAACGGCAGCACAGUAAGAGCUUGCUCUUACGGGUGGCGAGUGGCGGACGGGUGAGGAAUACAUCGGAAUCUACUUUUUCGUGGGGGAUAACGUAGGGAAACUUACGCUAAUACCGCAUACGACCUACGGGUGAAAGCAGGGGAUCUUCGGACCUUGCGCGAUUGAAUGAGCCGAUGUCGGAUUAGCUAGUUGGCGGGGUAAAGGCCCACCAAGGCGACGAUCCGCAGCUGGUCUGGGAGGAUGGUCGGCCGCACUGGAACUGAGACACGGUCCAGACUCCUGCGGGAGGCAGCAGUGGGGAAUAUUGGACAAUGGGCGCAAGCCUGAUCCAGCCAUACCGCGUGGGUGAAGAAGGCCUUCGGGUUGUAAAGCCCUUUUGUUGGGAAAGAAAAGCAGCAGGUUAAUACCCAGCUGUUCUGACGGUAACCAAAGAAUAAGCACCGGCUAACUUCGUG
This 492-nucleotide ribosomal RNA is filed under the name uncultured bacterium. RNAcentral's name for it is "partial 16S ribosomal RNA". It matches the Rfam family "Bacterial small subunit ribosomal RNA", at positions 29 to 507 of the family's 1533-position model. The record is from RNAcentral.